This is a long non-coding RNA of Dreissena polymorpha, 536 nucleotides long. RefSeq lists it as uncharacterized. Lineage: Eukaryota; Metazoa; Mollusca; Bivalvia; Myida; Dreissenidae. The transcript is spliced from 3 exons. The record is from RefSeq and is a predicted model, not a curated record.
CCGUCAGUCUUUCCACCAGAUGGUUUCCGGAUGAUAACUCAAUAACGCUUAGGCCUAAGAUCAUGAAACUUCAUAGGUACAUUGAUCAUGACUGGCAGAUGACCUUUAUUGAUUUUCAGGUAACUAGGUCAAAGGUCAAGGUCACAGUUACUCGAAAUAGUAAAAUGGUUUCAGGAUGAUGACUCAAGAAUGCUUAGGCCUAGGAUCAUGAAACUUCAUAGGUACAUUGAUCAUGACUGGCAGAUGACCCCUAUUGAUUUUCAGGUCACUAGGUCAAAGGUCAAGGUCACAGUGACUCGAAACAGUAAAAUGGUUUCCGGAUGAUAACUCAAGAAUGCUUACGCCUAGGAUCAUGAAACUUCAUAGGUACAUUGAUCAUGACUGGCAGAUGACCCUUAUUAAUUUUCAGGUCACUAGGUCAAAGGUCAAGGUCACAGUGACUCGAAACAGUAAAAUGGUUUCCUGAUGAUAACUCAAGAAUAAUUAUGCCUAGGAUCAUGAAACUUCAUAGGUACAUUGAUCAUGACUGGCAGAUG